CACGUAGGGGGCGAGCGUUGUCCGGAAUCAUUGGGCGUAAAGAGCUCGUAGGCGGCUCAGUAAGUCGGGUGUGAAACCCCCAGGCUCAACCUGGGGACGCCACCCGAUACUGCUGUGGCUAGAGUCCAGUAGGGGAGUGUGGAAUUCCCGGUGUAGCGGUGAAAUGCGCAGAUAUCGGGAGGAACACCAGCGGCGAAGGCGGCACUCUGGGCUGGAACUGACGCUGAGGAGCGAAAGCGUGGGUAGCAAAUAGG
RNAcentral lists this ribosomal RNA (254 nucleotides) under uncultured bacterium. Its description in RNAcentral is "partial 16S ribosomal RNA". It matches the Rfam family "Bacterial small subunit ribosomal RNA", at positions 524 to 776 of the family's 1533-position model. The record is from RNAcentral.